AAGUCGAAACGAGAAGCCGGAGCAAUCUGGUAAGUAAAGUGGCGUACGGGUGAGUAACACGUGGAUUAUCUGCCCUUUUGUGGGGAAUACCGCUGGGAAACCGGCGACAAUACCGCAUAAGCUCGAGAGAGGAAAGCAGCAAUGCGCAGAAGGAGGAGUCCGCGGUCGAUUAGUUAGUUGGCGGGGUAAAGGCCCACCAAGACUGUGAUCGAUAGCCGGCCUGAGAGGGCACACGGCCACACUGGCACUGAAACACGGGCCAGACUCCUACGGGAGGCAGCAGUGGGGAAUCUUGCACAAUGGGGGAAACCCUGAUGCAGCGACGCCGCGUGAGCGAUGAAGCCCCUCGGGGUGUAAAGCUCUUUCGGCAGGGAAGAUUAUGACGGUACCUGCAAAAGCAGCUGCGGCUAACUACGUGCCAGCAGCCGCGGUAAUACGUAGGCAGCAAGCGUUGUUCGGAGUUACUGGGCGUAAAGGGUGCGUAGGCGGCUUUUUAAGUUUGGUGUGAAAUCUCCCGGCUCAACUGGGAGGGUGCGCCGAAUACUGAGAGGCUAGAGUGUGGGAGAGGAAAGUGGAAUUCCUGGUGUAGCGGUGAAAUGCGUAGAUAUCAGGAGGAACACCGGUGGUGUAAACGGCUUUCUGGACCAUAACUGACGCUGAAGCACGAAAGCGUGGGUAGCAAACAGGAUUAGAUACCCUGGUAGUCCACGCCCUAAACGAUGCAUAUUUGGUGUGGGCCAUUCAUUUGGUCUGU
This 754-nucleotide ribosomal RNA is filed under the name uncultured bacterium. RNAcentral's name for it is "bacterial SSU rRNA". It matches the Rfam family "Bacterial small subunit ribosomal RNA", at positions 59 to 844 of the family's 1533-position model. The record is from RNAcentral.